UAACACAGCCAUACUACCCUGAACGUGCCUGACCUCUGAAGCUAAGCAGGGUCAGGCCUGAUGAGUACUUAGGUGAAAAAACAUCCUUACUUUCAUAUGGUCAGCUUCUCACUGUGUGCU
This 120-nucleotide ribosomal RNA is filed under the name Spermophilus dauricus (Daurian ground squirrel). Lineage: Eukaryota; Metazoa; Chordata; Mammalia; Rodentia; Sciuridae. The record is from RNAcentral.